This 44-nucleotide small nuclear RNA is filed under the name Cervus elaphus hippelaphus. The record is from RNAcentral. Lineage: Eukaryota; Metazoa; Chordata; Mammalia; Artiodactyla; Cervidae.
GUGCUCGCUUUGGCAGCAUAUAUACUAAAAUUGGAAGGUUACAG